Molecule: ribosomal RNA, 511 nt
Filed under: uncultured bacterium
Lineage: Bacteria
Description: bacterial SSU rRNA
Rfam family: Bacterial small subunit ribosomal RNA
Source: RNAcentral
AGCGAACGUUAGCGGCGGGCCUAACACAUGCAAGUCGAACGCGAAAGGUCUUCGGACUGAUUAGAGUGGCGCACGGGUGAGUAACACGUAGGUAAUCUACCCUUUGGCGGGGGAUAACGUUCCGAAAGGAGCGCUAAUACCGCAUAAGACCACGGAGUCUCCGGACGCUGUGGGAAAAGGUGGCCUCUUCUUGAAAGCUAUCACCGGAGGAUGAGCCUGCGUCCCAUCAGCUAGUUGGUAAGGUAAUGGCUUGCCAAGGCAAAGACGGGUAGCUGGUUUGAGAGAAUGAUCAGCCACACUGGCACUGGAACACGGGCCAGACUCCUACGGGAGGCAGCAGUGAGGAAUAUUGGGCAAUGGGCGAAAGCCUGACCCAGCCACGCCGCGUGAGUGAUGAAGGCCCUCGGGUCGUAAAGCUCUGUGGAGAGGGACGAAAAACCUGGGGUCUAAUAGGCCCCGGACUUGACGGUACCUCUUUAGCAAGCACCGGCUAACUCUGUGCCAGCAGCCG